This 603-nucleotide long non-coding RNA is filed under the name Homo sapiens (human). Its description in RNAcentral is "non-protein coding TDRKH-AS1:24". The record is from RNAcentral. Lineage: Eukaryota; Metazoa; Chordata; Mammalia; Primates; Hominidae.
AACAUGCUGAAACCCCGUCUUUAUUAAAAAUACAAAAAUUAGCCGGUUAUGGUGGCAAGCGCUUGUAAUCCCAGCUACUUGGGAGACUGAGGCAGGAGAAUCACUUGAACUGGGGAAGCGGUGGUUGCAGUGAGCCGAGAUUGCCACUGCACUCCAGCCUGGGCAACAGAGCGAGACCCCAUCUCCAAAAAAAAAAAAAAAAAGUAUGUCCCUUUUCCCAGUUUGUUCUAUGUAUAUUGUUUAUACAUAUAACAAGUAUUUUCCCUUUUCCAAGUUUGUUCUAUGUAUAUUGCAUAUUUUGAGGCUGGUCUCCAACUCCUGACCUCAGGUGAUCAGCCUGCCUCAGCCUCCCAAAGUGCUAGGAUUACAGGCCUGAGCCAUUGCCCUCAGCCUGUCUGAAACCCCGUCUUUAUUAAAAAUACAAAAAUUAGCCGGUUAUGGUGGCAAGCGCUUGUAAUCCCAGCUACUUGGGAGACUGAGGCAGGAGAAUCACUUGAACUGGGGAAGCGGUGGUUGCAGUGAGCCGAGAUUGCCACUGCACUCCAGCCUGGGCAACAGAGCGAGACCCCAUCUCCAAAAAAAAAAAAAAAAAGUAUGUCCCUU